GCUGUUAUAGCUCAGUUGGUUAGAGUACCCGUCUGAUAAGCGGGAGGUCAGUGGUUCAAAUCCAUUUAACAGCACCA
Molecule: transfer RNA, 77 nt
Filed under: Paenibacillus polymyxa
Lineage: Bacteria; Bacillati; Bacillota; Bacilli; Caryophanales; Paenibacillaceae
Also listed under: 1 other name
Description: tRNA-Ile
Rfam family: tRNA
About the family: Transfer RNA (tRNA) molecules are approximately 80 nucleotides in length. Their secondary structure includes four short double-helical elements and three loops (D, anti-codon, and T loops).
Source: RNAcentral